RNAcentral lists this ribosomal RNA (439 nucleotides) under uncultured bacterium. Its description in RNAcentral is "partial 16S ribosomal RNA". It matches the Rfam family "Bacterial small subunit ribosomal RNA", at positions 339 to 795 of the family's 1533-position model. The record is from RNAcentral.
CUACGGGCCGCACCAGUAGGGAAUAUUGCACAAUGGGGGGAACCCUGAUGCAGCAACGCCGCGUGGAGGAUGACGCAUUUCGGUGUGUAAACUCCUUUUAUAUGUCAAGAAAAUGACGGUAGCAUAUGAAUAAGCACCGGCUAACUCCGUGCCAGCAGCCGCGGUAAUACGGAGGGUGCAAGCGUUACUCGGAAUCACUGGGCGUAAAGGACGCGUAGGCGGGUUGGAAAGUCAGGUGUGAAAUCCUACAGCUUAACUGUAGAACUGCACUUGAAACUUCUAAUCUAGAGUAUGGGAGGGGGAGAUGGAAUUAGUGGUGUAGGGGUAAAAUCCGUAGAUAUUACUAGGAAUACCUAAAGCGAAGGCGAUCUCCUGGAACAUUACUGACGCUAAGGCGUGAAAGCGUGGGGAGCAAACAGGAUUAGAUACCCCCGUAGUC